UACGUGCCAGCAGCCGCGGUAAUACGUAGGUGGCAAGCGUUGUCCGGGAUUUACUGGGCGUAAAGGAUGCGUAGGCGGACAUUUAAGUCAGAUGUGAAAUACCCGAGCUUAACUUGGGUGCUGCAUUUGAAACUGGGUGUCUAGAGUGCAGGAGAGGUAAGUGGAAUUCCUAGUGUAGCGGUGAAAUGCGUAGAGAUUAGGAAGAACACCAGUGGCGAAGGCGACUUACUGGACUGUAACUGACGCUGAGGCAUGAAAGCGUGGGGAGCAAACAGGAUUAGAUACCCUGGUAGUCCACGCCGUAAACGGUGAAUACUAGGUGUCGGGGGUCGAACCUCGGUGCCGCAGUUAACACAAUAAGUAUUCCGCCUGGGGAGUACGAUCGCAAGAUUAAAACUCAAAGGAAUUGACGGGGGCCCGCACAAGCAGCGGAGCAUGUGGUUUAAUUCGAAGCAACGCGAAGAACCUUACCUAGACUUGACAUCCCUUGCAUAACCCAGAGAUGGGUGAAGUCCUUCGGGACAAGGUGACAGGUGGUGCAUGGUUGUCGUCAGCUCGUGUCGUGAGAUGUUGGGUUAAGUCCCGCAACGAGCGCAACCCUUAUCAUUAGUUGCUACCAUUAAGUUGAGCACUCUAGUGAGACUGCCCGGGUUAACUGGGAGGAAGGUGGGGAUGACGUCAAAUCAUCAUGCCCCUUAUGUCUAGGGCUACACACGUGCUACAAUGGUGAGUACAAAGAGAUGCAAGACCGCAAGGUGGAGCCAAACUCAAAAACUCAUCCCAGUUCGGAUUGUAGGCUGCAACUCGCCUACAUGAAGCCGGAGUUGCUAGUAAUCGCGAAUCAGCAUGUCGCGGUGAAUACGUUCCCGGGCCUUGUACACACCGCCCGUCACACCAUGAGAGUUGGUAACACCCGAAGUCCGUGAGGUAACCAGUAAUGGAGCCAGCGGCCGAAGGUGGGAUCGAUGAUUGGGGUGAAGUCGUAACAAGGUAACC
Molecule: ribosomal RNA, 996 nt
Filed under: uncultured Bacillota bacterium
Lineage: Bacteria; Bacillati; Bacillota
Description: bacterial SSU rRNA
Rfam family: Bacterial small subunit ribosomal RNA
Source: RNAcentral